ACGGAAUCUCUCGUUGCUAUGCACGCAGACUGUGUAAACAGGCCAAUAGAAGUCGCCUGUGUGAAAACUGAUCAUCUCAACAGGGGUUGUCAGGGACCCCUCGCUCUGAAGCCACCUUCCCAGUGUGACUUACAACAUAGGACAAGUAGCCGCGUGGACACUCUCACAGAAGGAAGGACAAGAAGAGCGACUCCACAUAUACAAGCAGGAGCUUUAGGAUGUUGGGCUAUGUUAAAAUGGGGAUGGGGAGAGACAGGGAUAACAUUUGUGAUGGCAGGUGCCAGGCAGCACAGGGAGAGUGAUACAAUUUCCAGUUGGGAAAUUUCACCCAGAGCUUGCUGCUUUCUUCUGAUUUUACUUCUCAAUAUCUGAAGUAUUUAUUUAAUUUUUUUCUGUCUUAUUGGACUAUAAAAUCAUGGAGUAUGAGGAUUAAGUCAUCUUUCCAUCUUUUUCCUAAGUCACAUAAACAAAUUCCAAUCCCUGCGCUCAUUUCUCAAAUUGAACAAGAGUAAAGAAGGCCAACAGCCAACUACAUCUUAUCAAGAAGAGUUUCUUAGAAAUAAGAUUAAAAUGGAAACAGACUUUUAAAGGAGAAACGGCUGCAUCCAUUUAUUGCAUUUUAUUGUCUACAGACUGUCAAGAGUAUACUGGAUGUGAGAAUUCAGGUACUGAGCAAAGACUGGGUAAACAAGGCUUGAUUUACUUAAACUUAUGUCACCUAACGAAUCUAUUAUGUCUUCAGAGAACCCAGAAUAUAGAAUCUAGAAUGUUUUGUUGACUUGCUGUUGAGAAUCUCUUAAUCUUGAAUCUCAAAACACAAGGAAAGAUCAUUUUGUCAAUCUCUCCCAAUAUUUUUUCUACCUGUGAAACUAUAUCAUAAAUCUUUGAUUAUGGG
RNAcentral lists this long non-coding RNA (895 nucleotides) under Equus caballus (horse). RNAcentral describes it as "lncRNA (ENSECAG00000040528.2)". Lineage: Eukaryota; Metazoa; Chordata; Mammalia; Perissodactyla; Equidae. The record is from RNAcentral.